This 514-nucleotide ribosomal RNA is filed under the name uncultured Desulforegula sp. RNAcentral describes it as "bacterial SSU rRNA". It matches the Rfam family "Bacterial small subunit ribosomal RNA", at positions 8 to 516 of the family's 1533-position model. The record is from RNAcentral. Lineage: Bacteria; Pseudomonadati; Thermodesulfobacteriota; Desulfobacteria; Desulfobacterales; Desulforegulaceae.
AGAGUUUGAUCCUGGCUCAGAUUGAACGCUGGCGACAUGCUUUACACAUGCAAGUCGAACGGUAACAGGGAGCUUGCUCCGCUGACGAGUGGCGAACGGGUGAGUAAUGCAUCGGAACGUACCGUGUAGUGGGGGAUAACGUAGCGAAAGUUACGCUAAUACCGCAUACGCCCUGAGGGGGAAAGUGGGGGACCGCAAGGCCUCACGCUAUAUGAGCGGCCGAUGUCGGAUUAGCUAGUUGGUAGGGUAAAGGCCUACCAAGGCGACGAUCCGUAGCGGGUCUGAGAGGAUGAUCAGCCACACUGGAACUGAAACACGGUCCAGACUCCUACGGGAGGCAGCAGUGAGGAAUUUUGCGCAAUGGGGGAAACCCUGACGCAGCAACGCCGCGUGAGUGAAGAAGGCUUUCGGGUCGUAAAGCUCUGUCAAGAGGGAAGAAUGUAGGAGAUGGUAAUACUAUUUUCUAUUGACGGUACCUCUGAAGGAAGCACCGGCUAACUCCGUGCCAGCAGCC